AGUGAACGCUGGCGGUAGGCCUAACACAUGCCAGUCGAACGGCAGCACAGUAAGAGCUUGCUCUUACGGGUGGCGAGUGGCGGACGGGUGAGGAAUACAUCGGAAUCUACUUUUUCGUGGGGGAUAACGUAGGGAAACUUACGCUAAUACCGCAUACGACCUACGGGUGAAAGCAGGGGAUCUUCGGACCUUGCGCGAUUGAAUGAGCCGAUGUCGGAUUAGCUAGUUGGCGGGGUAAAGGCCCACCAAGGCGACGAUCCGUAGCUGGUCUGAGAGGAUGAUCACCCACAUUGGAACUUGGACACGGUCCAGACUCCUAAGGGAGGCAGCAGUGGGGAAUAUUGGACAAUGGGCGCAAGCCUGAUCCAGCCAUACCGCGUGGGUGAAGAAGGCCUUCGGGUUGUAAAGCCCUUUUGUUGGGAAAGAAAAGCAGCAGGUUAAUACCCCGCUGUUCUGACGGUACCCAAAGAAUAAGCACCGGCUAACUUCGUG
This 492-nucleotide ribosomal RNA is filed under the name uncultured bacterium. RNAcentral's name for it is "partial 16S ribosomal RNA". It matches the Rfam family "Bacterial small subunit ribosomal RNA", at positions 29 to 507 of the family's 1533-position model. The record is from RNAcentral.